RNAcentral lists this transfer RNA (73 nucleotides) under Ictidomys tridecemlineatus (thirteen-lined ground squirrel). RNAcentral describes it as "Spermophilus tridecemlineatus (thirteen-lined ground squirrel) tRNA". It matches the Rfam family "tRNA". From Rfam's summary of the family: Transfer RNA (tRNA) molecules are approximately 80 nucleotides in length. Their secondary structure includes four short double-helical elements and three loops (D, anti-codon, and T loops). Lineage: Eukaryota; Metazoa; Chordata; Mammalia; Rodentia; Sciuridae. The record is from Rfam by way of RNAcentral. RNAcentral also lists the same sequence under 1 other name.
GGGAAUAUAGCUCAGUUGGUAGAGUGCUUGCCUUGCAUGAACAAAGUCCUGGGUUCAAUCCCUAGCAACCCCG